UCCAAUAUGGCUGCAACAUCUGUCAACCCAUUGAUUGCCAGGUUGAUUCGGCUGAUCUGGCUGGCUAAGGUGGGUGUCCCCGUCCUCCCUCACCGCUCCAAUUUUUGUCCCUUCCAAAGCUGCAUGCUCAGUGGAAGAGUCCAUCCCAGAUAGGAGUAUAGCAGUCUUUGGUCAAGGCUCAAGGGUAUACGAUAGCUGCUCUCCUCUGGUAGAACAUCCAGACAAACAUGCCACUUGGAAGGGAUCUUCAUUCCAACCAUU
This is a non-coding RNA of Ophiophagus hannah (king cobra), 261 nucleotides long. The record is from Rfam. Lineage: Eukaryota; Metazoa; Chordata; Lepidosauria; Squamata; Elapidae.